AUUGAACGCUGGCGGCAGGGAGAACACAGGCAAGUCGAGCGGAUGAAGGGAGCUUGCUCCUGGAUUCAGCGGCGGACGGGUGAGUAAUGCCUAGGAAUCUGCCUGGUAGUGGGGGAUAACGUCCGGAAACGGGCGCUAAUACCGCAUACGUCCUGAGGGAGAAAGUGGGGGAUCUUCGGACCUCACGCUAUCAGAUGCGCCUAGGUCGGAUUAGCUAGUUGGUGGGGUAAAGGCCUACCAAGGCGACGAUCCGUAACUGGUCUGAGAGGAUGAUCAGUCACACUGGAACUGAGACACGGUCCAGACUCCUACGGGAGGCAGCAGUGGGGAAUAUUGGACAAUGGGCGAAAGCCUGAUCCAGCCAUGCCGCGUGUGUGAAGAAGGUCUUCGGAUUGUAAAGCACUUUAAGUUGGGAGGAAGGGCAGUAAGUUAAUACCUUGCUGUUUUGACGUUACCAACAGAAUAAGCACCGGCUAACUUCGUG
RNAcentral lists this ribosomal RNA (484 nucleotides) under uncultured bacterium. RNAcentral's name for it is "partial 16S ribosomal RNA". It matches the Rfam family "Bacterial small subunit ribosomal RNA", at positions 30 to 507 of the family's 1533-position model. The record is from RNAcentral.